Molecule: ribosomal RNA, 395 nt
Filed under: uncultured bacterium
Lineage: Bacteria
Description: bacterial SSU rRNA
Rfam family: Bacterial small subunit ribosomal RNA
Source: RNAcentral
AUUGAACGCUGGCGGCAUGCUUUACACAUGCAAGUCGAACGGCAGCACGGGUGCUUGCACCUGGUGGCGAGUGGCGGACGGGUGAGUAAUACAUCGGAACGUGUCCAGAAGAGGGGGAUAACGCAUCGAAAGAUGUGCUAAUACCGCAUAUGCUCUGAGGAGGAAAGUGGGGGAUCGAAAGACCUUACGCUUUUGGAGCGGCCGAUGUCUGAUUAGCUAGUUGGUGGGGUAAGGGCCUACCAAGGCGACGAUCAGUAGUUGGUCUGAGAGGACGACCAGCCACACUGGGACUGAGACACGGCCCAGACUCCUACGGGAGGCAGCAGUGGGGAAUUUUGGACAAUGGGCGCAAGCCUGAUCCAGCAAUGCCGCGUGAGUGAAGAAGGCCUCGGUUG